CCUACGGGAGGCAGCAGUGGGGGAUAUUGGACAAUGGGGGGAACCCUGAUCCAGCGACGCCGCGUGAGUGAAGACGUAUUUCGGUAUGUAAAGCUCUGUCAGCAGGGGAGAAAGAAAUGACGGUACCUGACCAAGAAGCCCCGGCUCAAUACGUGCCAGCAGCCGCGGGAAUACGUAGGGGGCAAGCGUUAUCCGGAAUUACUGGGUGGAAAGGGAGCGUAGACGGUUAAGUAAGUCUGGAGUGAAAGGCCGGGGCCCAAACCGGGGACUGCUCUGGAAACUAUUGAACUUGAGUGCAGGAGAGGUAAGCGGAAUUCCUAGUGUAGCGGUGAAAUGCGUAGAUAUUAGGAGGAACACCAGUGGCGAAGGCGGCUUACUGGACUGUAACUGACGUUGAGGCUCGAAAGCGUGGGGAGCAAACAGGAUUAGAUACCCUAGUAGUC
This 443-nucleotide ribosomal RNA is filed under the name uncultured bacterium. RNAcentral describes it as "partial 16S ribosomal RNA". It matches the Rfam family "Bacterial small subunit ribosomal RNA", at positions 338 to 795 of the family's 1533-position model. The record is from RNAcentral.